GACGAACGCUGGCGGCGUGCUUAACACAUGCAAGUCGAACGGUAAGGCCCUUCGGGGUACACGAGUGGCGAACGGGUGAGUAACACGUGGGUGAUCUGCCCUGCACUUCGGGAUAAGCCUGGGAAACUGGGUCUAAUACCGGAUAGGACCACUGCCUGCAUGGGUGGUGGUGGAAAGCUUUUGCGGUGUGGGAUGGGCCCGCGGCCUAUCAGCUUGUUGGUGGGGUGAUGGCCUACCAAGGCGACGACGGGUAGCCGGCCUGAGAGGGUGACCGGCCACACUGGGACUGAGAUACGGCCCAGACUCCUACGGGAGGCAGCAGUGGGGAAUAUUGCACAAUGGGCGCAAGCCUGAUGCAGCGACGCCGCGUGAGGGAUGACGGCCUUCGGGUUGUAAACCUCUUUCAGCAUCGACGAAGCGAAAGUGACGGUAGGUGCAGAAGAAGGACCGGCCAACUACGUGCCAGCAGCAGCCGCGG
This 478-nucleotide ribosomal RNA is filed under the name uncultured bacterium. RNAcentral's name for it is "partial 16S ribosomal RNA". It matches the Rfam family "Bacterial small subunit ribosomal RNA", at positions 28 to 523 of the family's 1533-position model. The record is from RNAcentral.